AGUGAACGCUGGCGGUAGGCCUAACACAUGCAAGUCGAACGGCAGCACAGUAAGAGCUUGCUCUUACGGGUGGCGAGUGGCGGACGGGUGAGGAAUACAUCGGACUCUACUUUUUCGUGGGGGAUAACGUAGGGAAACUUACGCUAAUACCGCAUACGACCUACGGGUGAAAGCAGGGGAUCUUCGGACCUUGCGCGAUUGAAUGAGCCGAUGUCGGAUUAGCUAGUUGGCGGGGUAAAGGCCCACCAAGGCGACGAUCCGUAGCUGGUCUGAGAGGAUGAUCAGCGACACGGGAACUGAGACACGGUCCAGACUCCUACGGGAGGCAGCAGUGGGGAAUAUUGGACAAUGGGCGCAAGCCUGAUCCAGCCAUACCGCGUGGGUGAAGAAGGCCUUCGGGUUGUAAAGCCCUUUUGUUGGGAAAGAAAAGCAGCAGGUUAAUACCCCGCUGUUCUGACGGUACCCAAAGAAUAAGCACCGGCUAACUUCGUG
This 492-nucleotide ribosomal RNA is filed under the name uncultured bacterium. RNAcentral describes it as "partial 16S ribosomal RNA". It matches the Rfam family "Bacterial small subunit ribosomal RNA", at positions 29 to 507 of the family's 1533-position model. The record is from RNAcentral.